RNAcentral lists this unclassified non-coding RNA (154 nucleotides) under soil metagenome. RNAcentral describes it as "partial internal transcribed spacer 1". The record is from RNAcentral.
UGAGUCUAGCACUCUUCAACCCCUGUGAACCAUACCUAUUUUUCCCCGGCGGAACGCCCCGGUGCCCUAGGGGCCGGGUCAGGCGCCUGCCGGGGGCAACCAGACCGUAUUUGUAACCCUAUACCUCAGAAUUAGGCGUAAAGCCGAAAUGUAA